Molecule: long non-coding RNA, 312 nt
Filed under: Setaria viridis
Lineage: Eukaryota; Viridiplantae; Streptophyta; Magnoliopsida; Poales; Poaceae
Description: long non-coding RNA (SVIR_LNC004440)
Source: RNAcentral
GGACUAAAGAGCUCCCUUUAGUCCUGGUUGUAACGGCAGUGGGACGAGGGGGCUUUUUAUCUCGGUUGAAAACACCAACCGGGACUAAAGGCCCCGUUUAGUCCCAGUUGGAAAUCUUUAGCCCCGGUUGGUAAUUACCAAUCGGGACUAAACGCCUCCCCAGGCCCCCUCUCUCCCCACCUUAUCUCCCCUCCCCUCCCUUAUCUUCUCUCCUCCUCCCUUAUCUCCUCCAGACCCUUCCCUUGUCUUGCGCAGGUCCUUUCAGGUGGAGUGGCGCGGGCCGGCCUCCGGCGGGCGGGCGGCGAGCAGCGG